This 440-nucleotide ribosomal RNA is filed under the name uncultured bacterium. Its description in RNAcentral is "partial 16S ribosomal RNA". It matches the Rfam family "Bacterial small subunit ribosomal RNA", at positions 338 to 795 of the family's 1533-position model. The record is from RNAcentral.
CCUACGGGAGGCAGCAGUAGGGAAUAUUGGUCAAUGGGGGAAACCCUGAAGCAGCAAAGUAGCGUGGAGGAUGAAGGUUCUCGGAUUUGUAACCCCUUUUGAUAGAGAAGAUAAUGACGGUAUCUAACGAAUAAUCACUGGCUAACUCCGAUACAGCAGCGGCGGGAAUACGGAGGGUGCAAGCGUUACUCGGAGGCACUGGGCGUAAAGCGCGCGUAGUCGGGAUAGCAAGUCAGAUGUGAAAUCCUAUGGCUUAACCAUAGAAUUGCAAUUGAAACUGUUAUUCUAGAGUAUGGGAGAGGUAGGAGGAAUGCGUGGUGUAGCGGUAAAAUCCGUAGAGAUCACGAAGAAUUCUCAUUGCGAAGGCGACUUACUAGACCAUAACUGACGCUGAUGCGCGAAAGUGUGGGGAGCAAACAGGAUUAGAUACCCUUGUAGUC